UCUGGAAUGCUGAGAAAUUCUGCUUCCACCCCCCAGCAGUUGCCAUGGUGAUGAAAACCUGGACCCAGUGGAAAGUUCUCUGUGCUCUUGGCAACGAGGCUGCAGCACCCUGCCUCCCCCUGCCUGCCUGUGCGUGGGCGGCCAGCUCCGGCUGCUGCCAGGAUUUGGGGCCAGCACGGCCUCUCUGCAAGACCCAGCCCUGCCCCCAAAGAAUCUAGGAUGGGAGCUUUGAUAUGUCCUGUACCCAGGGCCCUCAGAGAUUAUCUAGCCUGUCCCAUUUUAUGGAUGAGACAUUGGGCCAGAGAGGACCGGUGGCUUGUCCAAAGCCACAUGGACCCCCCCCUGGGGUCUCCCUCCUGGGCUCAGCUGUGAGUCAGGUGGGCACAGAGCACCUGGGGACAUCGCAGACAGGGGAAUAGCCACAUGGCAGGCCAGUCCCAGAAAGCAGGCCAGCUGCUGGAACCAGGGGGGUGCAGAAGACAAGGGACUCCAGGAGGCUGGACACUGCCUUCCUCUUCUCUCCCAGACACAGUGCAGGCUGAAUUUUGGUCCUGAAGUUUGCUUCCAGCAGAGGCCAACUGCCUCCCUUCAAUGCUGCAUGUGAGGAUACAGCAAGAAGACAGUUGUCUGUGAACCAGGAAACAGGCCCUCCUCAGACACCAGAGCUGUAGCACCUUGGAUUUUCCAGCCUCCAGAAUUUCUGUUGUUUAUAGACCACUCAGUUUACAAUAUUUUACUACAGCAAUCUGGAUAGACUAAGAUACCAUGUUUUCGAAACCUCUCUUUCUCUGUCUCUUCUUGAGUGAGGGUCUCACUCUGCUGCUCAGGCUGGAGUGUAGUGGCCCGAUCAUGGCUCACUGCAGCCACAACCUGCACACAAGGGAUCUUCCAGUCUCAGCCUCCCAAGUAGCUGGGAUCACAGGUGCACACCACCACAACUGGCUAAUUUUUGCAUAUUUUUGUAGAGAUGGGGCUUUGCCAUGUUGCCCAGGCUUGUCUUGAACUCUUGGGUUCAAGUGAUCCACCUGCCUUGGCCUCCCAGAGUGCUUGGAUUAUAGGUGUGAGUCACCACCCCUGGCUGUCUCUUAAGCAAACAGGUUUAUUAAGUAACAACACACACAGUGGCCCAUUUUUGAUCAUCAAAGGCCCAUAGAAUCCAGGCUUUGUCUGCCCCAGAGACACGGGACUCUUCAGGUCCUUAUAUGGUCAUGUGAUGGAUAUGUGGGACAGUUCCAUAAGCUGAACACUGUCACUAGUGCAGGGCCUACUGUCCACAUCCCUCAGAACCCUGCAGGUGAAGAUUCCCAAGACGACAGCAGUGGAAUUUCCUGCAGGUCCCACAGGCCCACAUUGGGAUGAGAUGUGGGUCAUCUCAGGAGCUCUGGCCAUGGACCAGACUGAAGCCAGGAUAGGCCAUAUGAUGCCUACCACAAACUUCCCAUGAGACUCAACUGUUCAGACAUUUUGGGAGUGUGAAAGGUCCUUGUGGUUCUUGCCAAGAAUCCAGUUCUUGGAAAGAAGGUGCCUCCUAUCCUGUUUCUGAUGAUAAAACUUGGACAAUGAAACUACUCACUGGGUGCCAAGGGCUUUCCCUGGUGCCAUCUCAGUGGCUCCAGGAGCUAUGUCCCCCAAAAUAGAGACUAAACUCAUGGGUUCUAAUUUUCCAUGGAAUACUGAAGUUGAGACAUUUCCCUAGAGGUGUCUUCAUUACACAGGAGCAUGAAUUUGACCUGGAGAUGGGAAAUGAUGGCACAGGCAGGGGAUAGCUACAAUGUCCAGAGCCAAGUUCCAUCUCUGUAAUCAGAGAAGAAGAAUCACAUCACUCCCUGAGCCUCAGUCUCCAAAUCUGUAAAAUGGAGCUGAGAUUAUCAGCCACUAUAAUUCCUCUACCAGGUCAUAUAUUCCUUUGGGGAAGGACUGUGAUCUUGUUCUCGUCUGUGUUUCUAACACAGAGGCUGCCAAAGGAGUCCUGGCCGAAUCAAAGGGUAGGCACAAAUUGUGAGAGCAUUCCUUUCCCCAGACCAUCCACCACACAUUCAUUUCAUUCAUGAAAUCAUUUUUCUGCUUAACCAAAAUUUUAUGUCAUUAUCUAUAUGCUGGGGACACAACAGUGAGGGAAAUAGACUGGAAGCUUACAAUUGAUUGAUGGGACCCAACAGCUGGUCACUGCACACUGGAAUGUGAGAUAUAUAGGAUGCUGCCUGGACACAAAGGAGACCUACCUCAGUUCUGCAGAGCCCAAGAAGACUUUCCCGAGAAGCUGACAACUCAGCUAAGAUCUCAAAGAUAAGAAGGUUUAAUGUAAGCCAGAAAAGCAGGUUUAGAGUUCCAAGCAGUGGACAAAUAAAAGUGUAACAUGGAAAAGGAGGGAGAGGAGCCUCUUGGACCACACAAUCCCCCCUCUCCUGCCAACUACUUCCCAAAGAAACCACCUCAUUCAUUCACCCUGAGCAGUGGCUACUGAAGUUCAGGACCAUGGAGAGCACCACAAUGAUCUUCCAGCCACCAUUUUGCUCUUGCUAAUCCUGAAAGGCCCUGCUCGGAUUAAGGCCUAAGGAGACAAAUGACAGGGUUCUGGGGGUGCGGAAACCACCAGGCUUGGAGCCAAGGAGGGAGAGUCCGGGGACCAGAUGAGUUUGGGGAAUCAACUGUCAGCUCUCUAUCCAGAUGAACUCUGUAGUCACAGAGCCAAGGGGAGCCUGGUGAGUCACACUUAGGCCUGGGAGCCCAGGAACCCUGCUGCGCACAAAGAAAACAGUGGGAUGAUGGAGACAAGUGGUUCUCUAUUGUCUCUGUUACCCAGGCUGGAGUGCAGUGCUGUGAACAUGGUUCACUGCAGCUUCGACCUCCCAGGCUACAGUGAUCCCUCUGCCUCAGCCUCUCAAGUAUCUGGGACUAUAGCCAUGCACUACCACACCUGGCUAGUUUUUGUAUCUUUUGUAGAGACAGGGUUUUGCCAUGUUGGUCAGACUGGUCUGGAACUCCUGGGCUCAAGCGAUCUGCCCACCUCGGCCUCCCAAAGUGCUGGGAUCCAGCAGCCCAGAGAACAGGCCCAGGGCAUGAGCCGCUGCAGUGGGAUCUGUGGUAGGGCUCCUUGUCUCUCAUCCCUCACCAAAAAGAGUCCUGAUCCCACCCUGCCCAGAGUACAGCUGGGGCCUCCAGACAGACCCCAAUCCAGCCAGAUGAAGGCUGCUGUCAAAGAAGGGAAAGGACAGGUUGGGGGAAAAGCAGAAAGAAUGUCCCCCAAUCCAAACUCCUGGACCCCCUCCAUGAGAGAGAGGUUCCUGCUGGAAGAGAAGUGCUCACCCCAGGCCCAGUGCACCAAGACCACCAGCAGA
Callithrix jacchus (white-tufted-ear marmoset) is the source of this 3338-nucleotide long non-coding RNA. RefSeq lists it as uncharacterized. The record is from RefSeq and is a predicted model, not a curated record. Lineage: Eukaryota; Metazoa; Chordata; Mammalia; Primates; Cebidae.